RNAcentral lists this ribosomal RNA (406 nucleotides) under uncultured bacterium. Its description in RNAcentral is "partial 16S ribosomal RNA". It matches the Rfam family "Bacterial small subunit ribosomal RNA", at positions 29 to 526 of the family's 1533-position model. The record is from RNAcentral.
AUUGAACGCUGGCGGCAGGCCUAACACAUGCAAGUCGAGCGAGGGGCGGACGGGUGAGUAAUGUCUGGGAAACUGCCCGAUGGAGGGGGAUAACUACUGGAAACGGUAGCUAAUAACGAAUAGCAGCGGAAGUGCCCAGAUGGGAUGGGCGAGUAGGUGGGGUAAAGGCUCACCUAGGAGACGAUCCCUAGCUGGUCUGAGAGGAUGCCCAGCCAAGCUGGGAUAGAGACACGGGCCAUAAUCCUACGGGAGGCAGCAGGGGGGACGAUUGGAGAAGGGGCGCAAGCCUGAUGCAGCCAUGCCGCUGGUAUGAAGCAGUCCUUCGGGUUGUACAGUACGUUCAGCGAGGAGGCGUGACUCGCAGAAGAAGCACCGGCUAACUCCGUGCCAGCAGCCGCGGUAAUUC